CGUAGGUGGCGAGCGUUGUCCGGAAUUACUGGGUGUAAAGGGCGUGUAGGCGGGAAUGCAAGUCAGAUGUGAAAUGCCGAGGCUUAACCUCGGAGCUGCAUCUGAAACUGUGUUUCUUGAGUGUCGGAGAGGAGAGUGGAAUUCCCAGUGUAGCGGUGAAAUGCGUAGAUAUUGGGAGGAACACCAGUGGCGAAGGCGACUUUCUGGACGAUAACUGACGCUGAGGCGCGAAAGCGUGGGGAGCAAACAGGAUUAGAUACCCUGGUAGUCACGCCGUAAACGAUGGAUACUAGGUGUAGGGGGUAUCGACCCCCCCUGUAGCCGCAGUUAACACAAUAAGUAUCCCACCUGGGGAGUACGGACCGCAAGGUUGA
This 374-nucleotide ribosomal RNA is filed under the name uncultured organism. RNAcentral describes it as "bacterial SSU rRNA". It matches the Rfam family "Bacterial small subunit ribosomal RNA", at positions 526 to 897 of the family's 1533-position model. The record is from RNAcentral.